UACGGAGGAUCCAAGCGUUAUCCGGAUUUAUUGGGUUUAAAGGGUGCGUAGGCGGAAUAGUAAGUCAGUGGUGAAAACCUGCAGCUUAACUGCAGAACUGCCCAUUGAUACUGCUAAUCUUGAGUACAUUUGAUGUGGGCGGAAUGUGGUCAUGUAGCGGUGAAAUGCAUAGAUAUGGCACAGAACACAUUGCGGAAGGCAGCUCACAAAAACUG
RNAcentral lists this ribosomal RNA (215 nucleotides) under uncultured bacterium. RNAcentral describes it as "partial 16S ribosomal RNA". It matches the Rfam family "Bacterial small subunit ribosomal RNA", at positions 524 to 742 of the family's 1533-position model. The record is from RNAcentral.